RNAcentral lists this ribosomal RNA (177 nucleotides) under Hebeloma sp. KGP75. RNAcentral's name for it is "partial 28S ribosomal RNA". It matches the Rfam family "Eukaryotic large subunit ribosomal RNA", at positions 1 to 174 of the family's 3401-position model. Lineage: Eukaryota; Fungi; Basidiomycota; Agaricomycetes; Agaricales; Hymenogastraceae. The record is from RNAcentral.
UUGACCUCAAAUCAGGUAGGACUACCCGCUGAACUUAAGCAUAUCAAUAAGCGGAGGAAAAGAAACUAACAAGGAUUCCCCUAGUAACUGCGAGUGAAGCGGGAAAAGCUCAAAUUUAAAAUCUGGCGGUCUCCGGCCGUCCGAGUUGUAAUCUAGAGAAGUGUUAUCCGCGCUGAC